AAAUCAAUCAAAGUACUUAAUAAAUUCACAUGGAAUUAAAAUUGCUAAUACAAGAAACCAAAGUUAUCUAUGAGAAAGGAAAUAAAUUAAACUUAAUUAUAUUUACAUUGACUAAUUUCAAAUCCAUGAAACAUCUCCGCCUUCAAAUUUUCAGUCCAUCUUCAGUUCAACCACAUACUCAUUGCCGAGUCAUCCCACAUACAUAGACUUAGCCAUUGUUGAGCGUUACUAAGAGCUAAAGAAAAAAAAAAAAAAGAGUUCAAUGGUAAAGCAUAUUGUCAUCUUAAGGGGAGAAUAUAUAUUUGAAUUUUGAAGGCGAUAUUAUUGGAAAAAACCAGUCACGAAUUCUAAAUAUAGAUUAUAAAACCGACAUGGAAGAUAUAAAAUAAGAGUUGAGUUUUUCAUUUUGAUAAAGGGAAAGGGGUUGGUGUCGGUUUGACACUAUCUGUAAUUCAGUUAACAAAGAGUUCAGUUAUUGAUGGAGUGACCCGCUCCCGGACUGUGACCCGGUGCUGUGGGACGAAAAUCAUCAACAUAUUCCACCUUGCUGCUUUGCUCUUGGCCCGAACCACUGCUAUGAACAUUCCCAUUGAUCUUUGGCAUCUUGAAAGAGUUCUGAUCUCGUUGCCGCCGUGAGCGAUGGUUCUUGCUUGCCUCACCCCUCAAAUGCCUUGCUCCUACACUAUACACUAAUAUUUCUUGACAUAAUAUCAAAACAAGGAGGAUAACACAUACAUUUUUUAGCCUAAAACUUGUCAUUUUUACGCAGAGGAAAAUAGGAACUAACAAGGAGACCCUAGCCUUAGAUGCGUAAGUGUUUAUGGGUUUUGGUGAUUAAGAAAUGUGGUAUUUAAAGCCUUGAACUGGCCAACUUGUA
This 877-nucleotide long non-coding RNA is filed under the name Gossypium raimondii (Peruvian cotton). RNAcentral's name for it is "long non-coding RNA (GRAI_LNC005400)". Lineage: Eukaryota; Viridiplantae; Streptophyta; Magnoliopsida; Malvales; Malvaceae. The record is from RNAcentral.